RNAcentral lists this transfer RNA (82 nucleotides) under Danio rerio (zebrafish). It matches the Rfam family "tRNA". From Rfam's summary of the family: Transfer RNA (tRNA) molecules are approximately 80 nucleotides in length. Their secondary structure includes four short double-helical elements and three loops (D, anti-codon, and T loops). Lineage: Eukaryota; Metazoa; Chordata; Actinopteri; Cypriniformes; Danionidae. The record is from Rfam by way of RNAcentral.
GUCAGGAUGGCCGAGCGGUCUAAGGCGCUGCGUUCAGGUCACAGUCUCCCCUGGAGGUGUGGGUUAAAUCCCACUUCUGACU